CCCUGGCUUUCUUCCAGAGCUGUGCUGAGCUAAGCCAGCCCGGUGGUGAGCACCUGCCAGCCAGGAGACUUCAAGAGGUCCGUGGGUCCCUUCCCCAAGAAAGAUGUUGGCUAUGGGAAGUGGGGGAGCGUGGAAGAUUCCUUCCCUCCACCCUUGAUCUCCUCUUGACCCUCUGCCUGAAGUCCCACCAUUUAGGGGCUCAUAUCUUGGAGCCUUCAACGUUUGGGGGUUUCCCAAUAAAGGCACUCCUGGGCAGUGAUACCCCUUGGUCCCCCCUAACUA
Ceratotherium simum simum (southern white rhinoceros) is the source of this 282-nucleotide non-coding RNA. Lineage: Eukaryota; Metazoa; Chordata; Mammalia; Perissodactyla; Rhinocerotidae. The record is from RefSeq and is a predicted model, not a curated record.